Molecule: ribosomal RNA, 1532 nt
Filed under: Pseudomonas aeruginosa
Lineage: Bacteria; Pseudomonadati; Pseudomonadota; Gammaproteobacteria; Pseudomonadales; Pseudomonadaceae
Description: 16S ribosomal RNA
Rfam family: Bacterial small subunit ribosomal RNA
Source: RNAcentral
GAACUGAAGAGUUUGAUCAUGGCUCAGAUUGAACGCUGGCGGCAGGCCUAACACAUGCAAGUCGAGCGGAUGAAGGGAGCUUGCUCCUGGAUUCAGCGGCGGACGGGUGAGUAAUGCCUAGGAAUCUGCCUGGUAGUGGGGGAUAACGUCCGGAAACGGGCGCUAAUACCGCAUACGUCCUGAGGGAGAAAGUGGGGGAUCUUCGGACCUCACGCUAUCAGAUGAGCCUAGGUCGGAUUAGCUAGUUGGUGGGGUAAAGGCCUACCAAGGCGACGAUCCGUAACUGGUCUGAGAGGAUGAUCAGUCACACUGGAACUGAGACACGGUCCAGACUCCUACGGGAGGCAGCAGUGGGGAAUAUUGGACAAUGGGCGAAAGCCUGAUCCAGCCAUGCCGCGUGUGUGAAGAAGGUCUUCGGAUUGUAAAGCACUUUAAGUUGGGAGGAAGGGCAGUAAGUUAAUACCUUGCUGUUUUGACGUUACCAACAGAAUAAGCACCGGCUAACUUCGUGCCAGCAGCCGCGGUAAUACGAAGGGUGCAAGCGUUAAUCGGAAUUACUGGGCGUAAAGCGCGCGUAGGUGGUUCAGCAAGUUGGAUGUGAAAUCCCCGGGCUCAACCUGGGAACUGCAUCCAAAACUACUGAGCUAGAGUACGGUAGAGGGUGGUGGAAUUUCCUGUGUAGCGGUGAAAUGCGUAGAUAUAGGAAGGAACACCAGUGGCGAAGGCGACCACCUGGACUGAUACUGACACUGAGGUGCGAAAGCGUGGGGCAAACAGGAUUAGAUACCCUGGUAGUCCACGCCGUAAACGAUGUCGACUAGCCGUUGGAUCCUUGAGAUCUUAGUGGCGCAGCUAACGCGAUAAGUCGACCGCCUGGGGAGUACGGCCGCAAGGUUAAAACUCAAAUGAAUUGACGGGGGCCCGCACAAGCGGUGGAGCAUGUGGUUUAAUUCGAAGCAACGCGAAGAACCUUACCUGGCCUUGACAUGCUGAGAACUUUCCAGAGAUGGAUUGGUGCCUUCGGGAACUCAGACACAGGUGCUGCAUGGCUGUCGUCAGCUCGUGUCGUGAGAUGUUGGGUUAAGUCCCGUAACGAGCGCAACCCUUGUCCUUAGUUACCAGCACCUCGGGUGGGCACUCUAAGGAGACUGCCGGUGACAAACCGGAGGAAGGUGGGGAUGACGUCAAGUCAUCAUGGCCCUUACGGCCAGGGCUACACACGUGCUACAAUGGUCGGUACAAAGGGUUGCCAAGCCGCGAGGUGGAGCUAAUCCCAUAAAACCGAUCGUAGUCCGGAUCGCAGUCUGCAACUCGACUGCGUGAAGUCGGAAUCGCUAGUAAUCGUGAAUCAGAAUGUCACGGUGAAUACGUUCCCGGGCCUUGUACACACCGCCCGUCACACCAUGGAGUGGGUUGCUCCAGAAGUAGCUAGUCUAACCGCAAGGGGGACGGUUACCACGGAGUGAUUCAUGACUGGGGUGAAGUCGUAACAAGGUAGCCGUAGGGGAACCUGCGGCUGGAUCACCUCCUUA